RNAcentral lists this non-coding RNA (70 nucleotides) under Nitrospirota bacterium. Its description in RNAcentral is "Nitrospirae bacterium Fluoride sequence". It matches the Rfam family "Fluoride riboswitch aptamer (crcB RNA motif)". The record is from RNAcentral. Lineage: Bacteria; Pseudomonadati; Nitrospirota.
UUUAGUAUCGGCGAUGGAGUUCGCCAUUAACCGCCCCGAUCUUAUCGGGACUGAUGACUCCUACUCUCAG